GAUGAAAAAUAUUAACAAAAGAUGAGAAAUAAAAAAUAAAAAGCGGCCUUUAUUCCGAGAACACAGAGAGAGAUGACCGACACCCCCACCCCUGGUGUCCGAGAUCUCUCCAGCUGACACAUGGCAUGGGGGCCAGUAAAUAGCCUUGCUUUGGGGUGGAAACUAAGGCGGGCAUUAGGGAUACACAGGUAGCCCAUUGGUCCUAGGUUUGGCGACAUAUGUAAAUUUCCAGGGGCAGGAAGAUGGCGUCACAGGUAACUUCCUAGGGGCAGGGGAGAUGGGGCUUCCUGCUUCCGGUUGUGGCUUUCCUGGCUACAGUGUGCUGUCUGGGCCAAAACCCUUUCACUAAGUGCAGUAAUCCAGGAAGGCAAGGGAGACUGGCAGCUCCAUGCCUCAGCCAUGCCCAACAAGGCCCCCUUCUGUGUGGAGGCAUGAGAGUACCCAGGUGGAACAGAGGGGUGCCCUACAGGACACACAGGUACAGGCUAGAGGAAGAGGCUGCUGGCUCAUACAAUCUGCAGUUUUCUACAUGCAGGCCAGGAGAGAGCACCCGCUGUGUGGAAAGGUGCAAGCCCCCAUGCUUCUGUUGGUCCAACAGUGCUAACAGUGAACCCCAAGGUCCCCAGACAAGCUGAGCUCCAGACACGUUCACUGGCAGAUGGCUCUGUUAGCUGAGGUCUGUGCUCCACCCUCUCUGCUUCACCUGCAACCUCCUCCAACCCUCAGGACAGACAGCCUCAGAGGUUCAAGGGUAUUCAGAGCCGCAGGGGCAAGGGUGUUGGAUGUUAUGUCCCAGCAACAAGAAAAAAGUAACCAAGACAUUGAGACACAGUACUAACCCCCACAGUUUAAUGAAGGAAAUAUUUCAUUGGGAUCUGAGGUUCUGAGGACUCAGUCCAUCACUGGCUGGUUCACAAAACGAUCAUGGCAAAGGGGUGCCACAGAGCAAAGGUGCUUGUUUCAAGGUGACUGGGAAGCAGAGCUGUGGAAAAUCACAACAGAAGACAGUACCGGGCCAGAGACCCCUAGACCCACUCAUCAGGAUCUACCCAGAUAUACCCAGAGGUGUGUUCCUCCUUCUGGUAACCCCAUCAACGAGAUCACCAAAGCAACCAAGUUCCCAUUCUACCCUCAGUGUCACAGUAGCUGAGGGAGAGGAUUGAAAGUUCAUGCCUAGCCUUGCAAUUUAGUGACUUCCUGAGACCCUGUCUCACAAUCAAGAAUUUAAAAUGGGCUGCAGAUGUGGCCCCUUGUGAAGUCCUUGGGGUAACUGGAAAGAAAAUAAAGAGCAAAGAAGCAAGAUUAAAGAGAGAG
Cavia porcellus (domestic guinea pig) is the source of this 1314-nucleotide long non-coding RNA. RefSeq lists it as uncharacterized. The record is from RefSeq and is a predicted model, not a curated record. Lineage: Eukaryota; Metazoa; Chordata; Mammalia; Rodentia; Caviidae. The transcript has 3 exons.